GUUAGUCUAAAUGUUGAGGUCUUUUUUCCACUUGGACACUAUGUAGGUUAAUUUUGUAUUUUCAAUGUAGAUUCAAUGUUUGUAGUUUUCUGUCUUCCUUGCACAUGAGGGAAUACUCAUCUACAUACACGCUUUAUUCUGUCACUUCGAUUUAAUCUUAAAAUGUAAUAAUGAUUGUAAAUGGAUGUGGAUGUAGAUUAUCAUAUGAAAAGUAUAAAUGUUUUUCUGCAUCAAUUAUAUUUCCUUUGGAUAGUCCUGAUAGUUUUUUCUGUUAUUUGGGAUCGGGAACAUGUGGUGUGGUGAUGCCAUGUCCUGCUUCUUCAUCAAAUGCAAUAAAGACUAGUUCUGUGUUGUGUUUGGUUACUGAGUCCUUGUUAAUAUGUAGAAUUUUAAACCUUGGACUCAUUUACUUAUACAGGCUCAAUUUGCGCAAAUGCGCCCUCUUGCAAUUGCACCCUCUGCUGCUCCUCGUGUGCCAUUGUAUCCCCCUGGUGGUCCAGGUAUUGGUCAACAGAUAUUUUAUGGUCAAGGCCCUCCUGCUAUGAUUCCUUCCCAGGUAAACGCUUAUAUAGUGCAUCUAGUUAGACUUUAUUUCUUGAGUUCGGGAGUGAAUUGCAAUUUUAUCCCUCUGAUUUUGUUCGUUUGUCAUUGAGUAAUUUCAUCAACAAUCUUUUGCCUGACCUUGAAAUUUGUCAGCCUGGGUUUGGGUAUCAACAACAACUUGUGCCUGGUUUGAGGCCCGGUGGAGCUCCUGUGCCAAAUUUCUUUUUGCCAAUGGUUCAGCAGGGAC
This 790-nucleotide long non-coding RNA is filed under the name Lupinus angustifolius (narrow-leaved blue lupine). RNAcentral describes it as "long non-coding RNA (LANG_LNC002680)". Lineage: Eukaryota; Viridiplantae; Streptophyta; Magnoliopsida; Fabales; Fabaceae. The record is from RNAcentral.